GUCUCUUUAAAAAGAUUUUUUAAAUUAGAAAUAAUGAAAAAAUUUGGCAGAUGUAUAUGUACUCAGAAGCGUAAGUAUAUUCAUUGGACUAGAAAAUUAGCAGUCCCUGUUUAACCGACGCUACUCUUCACAUUUUGCUUACCUUUGGAAUAUUUAUUGAUAGUGCUUUCUAGCACUUUGUGUAUGUGUGUGUGUGUGUGUGUAGAGUUAACAUAGCUUGCUUUGUGUGAAUAUGAGUUUUAAUACUAUUCUUUGCUUAUGAUAACCUUCAGGAUUCCUGGAAGCAGUUUUCAGUAUACACUGUCUCUUCAUUGGGCCUUUGUGAUCGCAGCCUGCCUUUGCACCUUCACAGCCAUUGUUCUACCUGUGUGUGCAGGUGCGUGCCAGUGCCAGGAGUUGCUGUUGUAGACAGACCCAUGUGGCAUUGGAUUCAGAUCCUGGCUCUGCCUUUUACUCGGAUGUUGGGCAAGUUAUUUGACCUCUGUGAGCCUCAUUAUAUUCAUCUGUAUUUCCAUUUUUUGUCCUAUUGUUAGGCCAUAUGUCAGCUGUGUCCUGAUUUUUAUAUUUAGGAAAUAUGUUCUUGCCAUGCAUCAUGAUCUGUGUUAAAAGCGAUUGGGGCCGAAAGAGAAAUCCAGAUACAAUUUCUGAUAGUAAUGUUCUUCCAGUCUUUUGGGAGGAUAACAGACGGACUUAAAUAACACCACCAGUUUUAUUGACCAUGCUGUUUAUUUUAAUAGGCCAGAAUGGUUUGAUUGACUUUUGAAAAAUCUGGUAUUUUUUUUUGCCAUAUGGGCAAGGCCAUAUCUGGAGUGCCAAGCUAAUAGGCCUUCUUUUCUUUGCCAGUGAACCAUGAAAGUUGUUAGCAAAAUGUUUUAUCUUGAAUUGAUCCAUUUUCCGAGCUCUUGGUGAUAUACACACGCAUCUAAAGGGAUAAAGUACAGAUUGUCUUUCAUCAGUCAUUGGAAAUUUGUUGCAUCAAAGAACUGCGGGCAACUGGUAUGUGACGUGAUCUAGAAAGGAAUGUACAUAGUGUGGUUGCGGCUGCCUAAAAAUGUGUAGGACUACCGUAAGGCAGUCAACUAGGGGCACAAAGUACAGGUUAUGUUGUUUUGAAUGAUGUUGUAAUGGUUAAAU
Long non-coding RNA from Sapajus apella (tufted capuchin), 1134 nucleotides. RefSeq lists it as uncharacterized. The transcript is spliced from 2 exons. Lineage: Eukaryota; Metazoa; Chordata; Mammalia; Primates; Cebidae. The record is from RefSeq and is a predicted model, not a curated record.